GACGAACCGGACGAACGUUAUUCGGAAUCAUUGGGCUUAACGAGUGCGUAGGCGGCCUUGUAGGUGAGGUGUGAAAUCCCACGGCUCAACCGUGGAACUGCGCUUCAAACCACAAGGCUUGAGUGAGGCAGAGGUAAGCGGAACUGAUGGUGGAGCGGUGAAAUGCGUUGAUAUCAUCAGGAACACCGGUGGCGAAGGCGGCUUACUGGGCCUUGUCUGACGCUGAGGCACGAAAGCUAGGGGAGCAAACGGG
Molecule: ribosomal RNA, 253 nt
Filed under: uncultured bacterium
Lineage: Bacteria
Description: partial 16S ribosomal RNA
Rfam family: Bacterial small subunit ribosomal RNA
Source: RNAcentral